ACUUACCGAUGACGGUGCAUGUUUCGACAGUUGGCGUGUAUGAGGAGAGGAGCUCGUAGCGGAGCUCCGCAAAGAAGUGCCUGACGGGAGGGUUAUUGGGCCUCCGUUUCUUGUUACCAGUAGUCCUCCGAGCCAGGAAGUUGGUAUGGACCCAAAUCUCGCCUCUGAUCCCCACGUACGAAGCCAUCAUGGGCUUGACAGGUUCGAAGUCGGAUCCCUGAAAGUACGUAUUAUUUCGUUAGCACGAGUUAGGCUCAGGCAUUAUUGAACUGUGUUGCUGCGGUGAACUUAUUUUAUAAUCUGCUGUAAAAAAAUACACACGAAAGUAGAAAAAAGAUUAAUUAUCCAAAUAAAAAUAAUAGCGAAAGGCGGGUGAAAAAAA
This 382-nucleotide long non-coding RNA is filed under the name Brachypodium distachyon (stiff brome). Its description in RNAcentral is "long non-coding RNA (BDIS_LNC005287)". The record is from RNAcentral. Lineage: Eukaryota; Viridiplantae; Streptophyta; Magnoliopsida; Poales; Poaceae.